CCUACGGGGGGCAGCAGUGAGGAAUAUUGCACAAUGGGGGAAACCCUGAUGCAGCGACGCCGCGUGAGUGAAGAAGUAAUUCGUUAUGUAAAGCUCUAUCAGCAGGGAAGAAAAUGACGGUACCUGAGUAAGAAGCCCCGGCUAACUACGUGCCAGCAGCCGCGGUAUUACGUAGGGGGCAAGCUUUAUCCGGAUUUACUGGGUGGAAAGGGAGCGUAGACGGCAGUGCAAGUCUGGAGUGAAAGGCGGGGGCUCAACCCCCGGACUGCUCUGGAAACUGUACGGCUGGAGUGCAGGAGAGGUAAGUGGAAUUCCUAGUGUAGCGGUGAAAUGCGUAGAUAUUAGGAGGAACACCAGUGGCGAAGGCGGCUUACUGGACUGUAACUGACGUUGAGGCUCGAAAGCGUGGGGAGCAAACAGGAUUAGAUACCCCAGUAGUC
Molecule: ribosomal RNA, 440 nt
Filed under: uncultured bacterium
Lineage: Bacteria
Description: partial 16S ribosomal RNA
Rfam family: Bacterial small subunit ribosomal RNA
Source: RNAcentral